Long non-coding RNA from Hemicordylus capensis (graceful crag lizard), 602 nucleotides. RefSeq lists it as uncharacterized. The record is from RefSeq and is a predicted model, not a curated record. NCBI's taxonomy places the organism in Eukaryota, Metazoa, Chordata, Lepidosauria, Squamata, Cordylidae. The transcript has 2 exons.
AACAGACUCCUUGAUGACCGGAAAGGUUUAGUCUUAGAAGGUAAUAAAGAAGCGCCCUGUGAACAUCUAAAGAAUGCAGAGCCUUUUCCAGCGAUGUGGUUGGAGAUCUAAAGAAAGUGGGCAAUACCUCAUCCUGGUUGAUGUGGAAGUCCGACACAAUUUUUGCUGAAAAACGGCGCACAACAGGAGAACCAAAAAACAGUCCGAGGUCAAAUCCAAUAAUCAAGCAGUCCAAAUCACAAAUCCAAAGAAUAGUCAACAAUUGGUCCGAGAUCAGAACUGUGUAGCAGAACUUUGUAAAAAAAAAUCGCAAGGAACCAAAAUGAAGGAGCCGCAGAAAUCGCGAGCAAUCCCUACGGCGGUCAAAAAGAAACUGAGAUGCCUGCGCUUCCUCCCGCCUUAAAUAGCCAUGUGGUAACGUGGGGUGGGGCGCAGGCGCUGAAGAGGAGCUGUAGAACUCGAUACCGAGAGGCUUCGGCGCAGGUGCAGAACCCACUCUAAUGAUGUCAAUGGAUCACGUCCCAGAUCAAACUCUACACUAGCUACCCAGAAUGGUAUUUUAUCUAUUUUAUAUUGUGCACCAAUAAAUUUUAAAUGUUGGA